AGUGAACGCUGGCGGUAGGCCUAACACAUGCAAGUCGAACGGCAGCACAGUAAGAGCUUGCUCUUACGGGUGGCGAGUGGCGGACGGGUGAGGAAUACAUCGGAAUCUACUUUUUCGUGGGGGAUAACGUAGGGAAACUUACGCUAAUACCGCAUACGGCCUACGGGUGAAAGCAGGGGAUCUUCGGACCUUUCGCGAUUGAAUGAGCCGAUGUCGGAUUAGCUAGUUGGCGGGGUAACGGCCCACCAAGGCGACGAUCCGUAGCUGGUCUGAGAGGAUGAUCGGCCACACUGGAACUGAGACACGGUCCAGACUCCUACGGGAGGCAGCAGUGGGGAAUAUUGGACAAUGGGCGCAAGCCUGAUCCAGCCAUACCGCGUGGGUGAAGAAGGCCUUCGGGUUGUAAAGCCCUUUUGUUGGGAAAGAAAAGCAGCAGGUUAAUACCCCGCUGUUCUGACGGUACCCAAAGAAUAAGCACCGGCUAACUUCGUG
RNAcentral lists this ribosomal RNA (492 nucleotides) under uncultured bacterium. RNAcentral describes it as "partial 16S ribosomal RNA". It matches the Rfam family "Bacterial small subunit ribosomal RNA", at positions 29 to 507 of the family's 1533-position model. The record is from RNAcentral.